GGAGUAAAAGUCGUAACAAGGUUUCCGUAGGUGAACCUGCGGAAGGAUCAUUAUUGUAUAACCGAGGUGCGAGGGCUGUCGCUGACCCGAAAGGUCGUGCACGCCCGAGUGCCCUCACACACAUCCAUCUCACCCCUAUGUGCACCACCGCGUGGGUCCCCCUUUGGCUUGUUCGGAGGGGGGCUUACGUUUUCACACAAACUUUGUAUGCAGUGUAGAAUGUAUUUUCUGUUUUUGCGAUCACGCAAUCAAUACAACUUUCAACAACGGAUCUCUUGGCUCUC
Molecule: unclassified non-coding RNA, 284 nt
Filed under: plant metagenome
Description: partial contains small subunit ribosomal RNA, internal transcribed spacer 1, and 5.8S ribosomal RNA
Rfam family: Eukaryotic small subunit ribosomal RNA (bases 1-53)
Source: RNAcentral